GCGAGGAAACCCGCUGAACUUAAGCAUAUCACUAAGCGGAGGAAAAGAAACCAAAUUGGAUGCCCCUAGUAUGC
Molecule: ribosomal RNA, 74 nt
Filed under: Caulerpa verticillata
Lineage: Eukaryota; Viridiplantae; Chlorophyta; Ulvophyceae; Bryopsidales; Caulerpaceae
Description: partial 28S ribosomal RNA
Rfam family: Eukaryotic large subunit ribosomal RNA
Source: RNAcentral